RNAcentral lists this ribosomal RNA (278 nucleotides) under Salmonella enterica subsp. enterica serovar Angoda. RNAcentral's name for it is "partial 16S ribosomal RNA". It matches the Rfam family "Bacterial small subunit ribosomal RNA", at positions 155 to 435 of the family's 1533-position model. The record is from RNAcentral. Lineage: Bacteria; Pseudomonadati; Pseudomonadota; Gammaproteobacteria; Enterobacterales; Enterobacteriaceae.
AACGGUGGCUAAUACCGCAUAACGUCGCAAGACCAAAGAGGGGGACCUUCGGGCCUCUUGCCAUCAGAUGUGCCCAGAUGGGAUUAGCUAGUUGGUGAGGUAACGGCUCACCAAGGCGACGAUCCCUAGCUGGUCUGAGAGGAUGACCAGCCACACUGGAACUGAGACACGGUCCAGACUCCUACGGGAGGCAGCAGUGGGGAAUAUUGCACAAUGGGCGCAAGCCUGAUGCAGCCAUGCCGCGUGUAUGAAGAAGGCCUUCGGGUUGUAAAGUACUU